RNAcentral lists this ribosomal RNA (292 nucleotides) under uncultured Sediminibacterium sp. RNAcentral's name for it is "partial 16S ribosomal RNA". It matches the Rfam family "Bacterial small subunit ribosomal RNA", at positions 505 to 796 of the family's 1533-position model. The record is from RNAcentral. Lineage: Bacteria; Pseudomonadati; Bacteroidota; Chitinophagia; Chitinophagales; Chitinophagaceae.
GUGUCAGCAGCCGCGGUAAUACGGAGGGUGCAAGCGUUAUCCGGAUUCACUGGGUUUAAAGGGUGCGUAGGCGGGUAGGUAAGUCAGUGGUGAAAUCCUGGAGCUCAACUCCAGAACUGCCAUUGAUACUAUCUAUCUUGAAUAUUGUGGAGGUAAGCGGAAUAUGUCAUGUAGCGGUGAAAUGCUUAGAUAUGACAUAGAACACCCAUUGCGAAGGCAGCUUACUACGCAUAUAUUGACGCUGAGGCACGAAAGCGUGGGGAUCAAACAGGAUUAGAAACCCCAGUAGUCC